GCUUAACGCGAAGAACCUUACCAGCCCUUGACAUGUCCUCUAUGGAUUCCAGAGACGGAGUCCUUCACUUCGGGUGGGAGGAACACAGGUGCUGCAUGGCUGUCGUCAGCUCGUGUCGUGAGAUGUUGGGUUAAGUCCCGCAACGAGCGCAACCCUCGCCUUUAGUUGCCAUCAUUUAGUUGGGCACUCUAAAGGGACUGCCGGUGAUAAGCCGCGAGGAAGGUGGGGAUGACGUCAAGUCCUCAUGGCCCUUACGGGCUGGGCUACACACGUGCUACAAUGGCGGUGACAAUGGGCAGCGAACCAGCAAUGGGGAGCUAAUCUCAAAAAGCCGUCUCAGUUCGGAUUGCACUCUGCAACUCGAGUGCAUGAAGUUGGAAUCGCUAGUAAUCGUGGAUCAGCAUGCCACGGUGAAUACGUUCCCGGGUCUUGUACACACCG
RNAcentral lists this ribosomal RNA (441 nucleotides) under uncultured bacterium. RNAcentral's name for it is "bacterial SSU rRNA". It matches the Rfam family "Bacterial small subunit ribosomal RNA", at positions 954 to 1392 of the family's 1533-position model. The record is from RNAcentral.